GAGUAUUGGUUACCAGCAAAUUUGGAUUCCCUUUUACACUGACUGCAAAUGCAUAACAAAGCAUCCUGCAAGGUUAUUAAUUCACAAUAGCCAUGUUACCAUUUUGUGCUUCACGUUAGAGAAGGAAGAGAAUCCUGCAGGUAUUCUGCAGGUAUCACAGUUUCUGUUCGGAAGUUAUCCAGGUGUUUCUGCUGGCAUUUUUCCUUGUGGACAUAGACAUAAAUUCCAGAAGAUUAUGUGGCUUUUCCAAGCCUGCCAUGUGGCAUGUGGGCACAGUUCAAGCUCCAUGUAAGGCCUUGCACCUAAACCUCUUGGCCAGAUGCAGUAGAGCUACUGAAGAUCAGAGCCAGUGUAGCGUAUUGCCUGAUGGUCUCUUCAUUAGAAGUAUGAAAACACGACGAUGUCUUGCUAAUGAACUUGUCAGCACUUGCAACUUCUCAGAUUCCAUUCUGAGAGACUGUAACAAAGCAGAAGCUGGUAAAAAAAAAAAAAAGUGAAGCACACCAAACACCAAGAACUUCACUGGAGAUUGAGAACACUGCCAUUUCUAAAUGGAGAGGAGCCAGAAUCCUGCAGGAUCAGACCCAUCAGUCACAGGAAGAGAGAUAUAACUGCUUUGGGAGAAGGAAGAUUGCAUUUCUUCAAUGACUGCAUUGUUUAGAAGAAGCUGUCAGUAUUGAUCAGCGGCUAAGACCAGCUGCAAGAAAACACUUUACACUUCCCACUUUAAAUGUGUGAAGACUAAGUAAUGUAAUAACCAGUUCUGGGUAACAGCUC
Molecule: long non-coding RNA, 777 nt
Organism: Neopsephotus bourkii (Bourke's parrot)
Lineage: Eukaryota; Metazoa; Chordata; Aves; Psittaciformes; Psittacidae
Exons: 3
Source: RefSeq, a predicted model, not a curated record